AUGUGCUUCCUGCCAAUCAGCUGUCACUCCUCUGCCUCAGAAUCCCAUGGGGUGCUUAUCUGUUUUCUAACCUGUCCACAAAUGGUGUCAGUCCUGUGUAAAUUCAAGAUAGCCUUCGUCGUCCCAGAUGAGUUACGAGACGCCUCCUCCGUACCCCGGCCCGGGGCCCUCUGCGCCCGGCUACCCCCCCUACAUGCAGCAGCCCAACCUGGGCUACCCCGGCCCCAACCCGGGCUACCCCAACUACCCCCCGGGCCCCACAGGACCCUACCCUGCACCGGGACAGCCAGCCUUCCAGGGGUACCCACAGCAGCCCUACGGGCCCCCUGGACCUGUGUACGUCGAGGCGCCGAAGAAUACAGUGUACGUGGUGGAGGAGCGGCGCCAGGACAACUCCGGAGAGGGCGCCUGCCUGACGGCCUGCUGGACGGCGCUCUGCUGCUGCUGCCUGUGGGACAUGUUCACCUAGCCCCCCGCCCCCGGACCCCCAGCACCCUGCACCCUGCACCCCAGCACCCUGCACCACCCUGCACCACCCCCCGCAGCUUUCGAGGACUCCCUCAGCCUCUCGGAGCGCACUGUGACCCCACUGUACCCCACUUCUGCAGCCCUGCCUCGUAUCCUCGAUGCUCCCACAGAGGGGCAGACUGGCCCGGGCUGACUCUUGGAAUCGGUCCGGAGGGUUUUUUAAAAAAAGCAACAAUUUUUGUUUUGUGUUAAGUUUAUGGGAUUGUUUUUUGUCUUGGAGAUGUUAUUAGCAAUAUAUUUUUCCUGAUUAAAACCUUAUUAAUAUAUUUGAAACUUGUAACUAUCCUUUUAAUUUUUACAUUCCUAGAAUGUGACUGUAGGAAAAAAAAACAAAAUAAAGUUAGUUGCCUAUGUGAAUAAUCAGAAUUGCACAAUUAAUAAAUUAUUCCUUCAAGGUAUUUUGGUGUUGUCUUUUUUUUUUUUAUUCCCCCAGUCUGUCAUGAGCUGCUGCAGAGCAGUUCUGAUCCUGAAGAGCCCCAGUUUUGGAAAACGUGCACAUACCGCCUGCGACUGAGCACACAGUGUAGAUGUUCCAGUUCUGUGCACACGGCUGAUUUAAUGGGGAUCUCGAGACCCUGCUGGACUGGGGCUCCUUGUCGGGGCUGUGUGCCACAGUGAUCCCCCCCUGACUGCACCUAGCGACGAGCCUGACCGGCGCGAACCCGAGUCCGCCGGCCGGGUUGCUCUGCAGGGGAGGGCGUCUGGGAGACGGCUCGGCUGCCCUGUGUUUCCCAGAGCUGCUGGUUGCCGGGGAGGGGCCUGGGAGAAGCCACGGUGGGCAGCGUGACCUUUCCUCCGGCGCCAAGAGGCCGGGGGCUCUGCCUGCCUGCUCUGUGCCCGGCGCUGGAGUUGCAGGAUAUUCUGGGAGGGGAGGAGCGACUCGUUCUCCCAAACCCAAGUCCAGCUUCGGUUUCUCCGGUGCAGCAUGGAGACGGGCAGGAAUAACAGGCGGAGCCCCCGAGCAGGAGACGGUGGGGGUGGCGGGCGACCCCCCCGAGCGGAGCCCCUUGUUUCAGCCUCUCCCUGGCGAUGGCUUCCAUCUGCUCGGGGCCCAUGGGCGCGGGCUCCUGUGGGAGGGGGGCCCUGCUUGUUCCUGCUCGCCCGGAGCGGCGGCGGGGAGAGGCUUCGGAGCUCUUGGCAGUUCACCAUGGCAACGGUCCAAGUGGAACUCGGACGUUGGCGUGAGCCGGCCUCUCCUCGAGAACAACAAGCGGGUAAGCAGAGGAAGGAUUCUUGCCUUCUGAGCUCCUGAAAGGAUAUUUUUGCGGGAUAAACACCCGCUGUCCUUUUGAAAUCGGGCGAAUGCGUGACGGCCCUGUGGCUCUGGGGAGGCAGCUGAGAGCCCCCCCCUCACACAGCUGGGGUGGGUCAGAUUGGGGUGACCCCUCUUCCAACCUGCUGCUGAGCUAUUGCCCCUCACAGGAGCAGGACUGACCGGGGUUUAUAUUGUAUAAUAAAAAAUAACUUUCAAUAAAAUGAUUCUUAGGAGAUAUUUUUUGUGAUAUGAUGUUGCUUUUUUCCCCGCGAGUGAAAGGCCAGCAGGGGAGGAGACUAAGACCCAUUGUGGUGCUCCUGCAGGGGCCUCCUGGGGCUGCGAUCACGUGACGCCCGCACUGGGAAGGAGAGCCGUGGGCUGACGGCGGCGACCAGUCUGAGCUGGGAGUUGAGCUGCAUGGCUGCUGGGAAGGAGUUCUGAAGUCACAGGAGAAGUGUAAUCUGACUCGCCCGGCCUGGGCGUAUUUUUAGCUCGUCGGGCUUCUGAGCACCACAUGCAGGACAGAGUAAAGUAAAUAUUUUCCUUUUAAUCCGCAGGACUGGGGCUCGGCUAGAACCUGCAAAGACGAACGGUUGAACUACCGUGUUCCAGAAAAGCCCAGCUUGUCUUUGCAGAACAUGAAUCGUUUGUCCACUUGCCAUUGUAUGUGCUAAAACCCCAGUGUAAAAGCUACAGUAUACCGUUGAGGAAAACAGCUGAAUGAGAGGUUAUAUAUGAGGGGCAAUCGAGAAACAGAGUCUUGUAUACAACUGCGAUUCUGUCUGCAAUGUCAGGUUUUUCAGCAGCUCGGUCUUGAUGUGGGGUUUCAACAGUCUCUCUGGGGUAAAACCGUCUCUGAAAGAUCUUCUGAAAGCAGGCAAUGCGAUCUGUACGAGAGCCUCCUCCCAGGAAGAAGGCUGUUCGGGUCCUGCCGUGGUGUCUGUGAGCCCGACAGAGGUCCGCUCUUAAACAGAAGGUUCAACAGCGUUGCUUCCUGCGAGGCGAACAGCCCAGAUUCAGGUCCCCGCUGCGGCGCAAGCUGUGCUUUUCAUGCCCUCUGGGGAGAAUAAAGACCCCUCCUCUGAUAGUAAAAUACAAUAAACAAUUGUUUAUUGGGGGGGGCACCGGGGGCUCCGCGCCCAGGUCUGGUCAGGGCUGAGCUCCGCUCUGUGCGGAGUCUGCAUGUUCUGCCCGGGCCUCCGUGGGUUUUUGCCAGCCUGGCCCCCUUCGUGACGGAGCGCCUGGGCGUAUGUGAGGAGCAGCGGGAGCGUGGCAGGGCACCCUCCGGGCAGGACGCCAGGCCAUCACAGGACAAACACACUCACGCCAGGGCCGGGUUUCCCAGAAGCCAGUUCACCUGCCAGCAUGUCUUUGGGCUGUGGGAGUAAACUGGAGCGCCGAGAGGAAACACAUGCGAACACAGGGAGAACAUGCAGACUCCACGCAGACAGCGCCCCAGGGUCCCCCUUGUUAACCCCUGUGCCAGCGUGCCCCUUGAAUAUUACACCGCGGUGUUUAACUGUUUAAAAGGAGUUUAGUGUUAUUACCUGACCAGACUUGUGUUAAAAGUUUAAUGAGCAAAGUUUAAAAAUGCCUUAGUUGAAGAGUGCAAUUGUCUGCUUCUUGGGUAACCCCCUCCAUCCAUCAAUGAAUUAACAGAAAAACCUGUUUAUUCCUGGUAAGGGUGAUGGCAAGCCGAUCUUAUCCCAGAAUCUUUGGGCACGAGGCGGGACCGCAGCCUGGACAGGAUGCUGGGGACACCGUGUGCUCCAGUGCUCGCCAUUCGAGAAGAACAUUGGCCGAUAAACCUACUGCCAAAACAAACAGGGAUUAACGGCCCUUUGUUCCGACAGCUUCAGGUCAGAAAUGAGAAAUCUCCCUGUUCCGCAGAACACGGUGCGCUGCUGCCACCUAGUGUCUAAUACUCUAAUAGACGCGCGAAGACUUGAGCUUUGCAAUAUCUCCAAAUCGCUCGAAGCACUGCGCAAGGCACCCGGGUGGAUCGUCACUUGGAUUGUGCAAUAUUUUACACAAAUGCAUUAACAUCAAACAUUUUUUGUCGUGGUGCUAACAGCACAACGCCCCUGGCAGCCUACACUUGAAAUAAUUCACUUCUUGCACGUUUUUAUGUCGGGUUUCCUGGGUGACAGGUUUCAGCAAAGGCCUGUAACUUCUCUGAAACUCUUGACAUACAUUCUGAACUAUACCGCCAUUUUGAAAAGUUGCAUUGGCCAUUUUUCCAAAAUAAAACUCACCUCUUCUGCUUCAUCAAAGUUCUCACACUGGGGUGCGAAACGUGCAAUGAAGAGUACUGAAAAUGAGAAGGUGUAUAGACCAUAGUCAACUGGCAAACGUGUCUUCCUGUGUCAACAUCACUGCACAAUAUGUGCUCAUCAGGAAAACCAGGUACUUACUCGGGGUAUUUGAUCAGUGCAGCACUGUUGCAGCUAUUGUCUGGCUUUCUCUGAAUGAGUUCAAAUUAGAGCAUUUCAUUUCUGCUAAACUGUGGACAGGAGGCACCACUAACAUGCAGUGGGAAUGUCGUGCGAUUAAAACAAAAGUGAUCAUCCCUGUCUUUGCAGAAGGAAGCCAUUUUGGACGGAUUACUUACGGGCUCACAAUGACGUGACAGCGCUUACCUACUAUUUAAUAUCAUUUCCAGAAAUCAGCGUCUCCUCCCUGACGCCAGCAAGUGAUCCAUAAGCUCCCGGAAACUGACCCCCCGCUCCCAGAUUGUUCUGUAUCAUAUGACCUCGAGCAAUCUGAGAAGCUGCUCAGAUCUGCUAAACAAGCCGCAUCUCUGUACAACGCAAGUUUGUAACGAAAGUGAGAUUAUCCAACUGGACUGGCGAGUUAUAGUAUAUGUGGUGUAUUGCAUAUAUAUUAUAGCAUCAGCGAAUUAUUUCAUUGUAUAGCUGUGGUUUGUUUCAAGCGGGACCCUUCCCCGAA
Lepisosteus oculatus (spotted gar) is the source of this 4732-nucleotide long non-coding RNA. Lineage: Eukaryota; Metazoa; Chordata; Actinopteri; Semionotiformes; Lepisosteidae. The record is from Ensembl.